AGGAGAGAGAGGGAUUCGAACCCUCGAUAGUUAUACUAUACCGGUUUUCAAGACCGGAGCCAUCAACCACUCGGCCAUCUCUCC
RNAcentral lists this transfer RNA (84 nucleotides) under Tropidocarpum gracile. RNAcentral's name for it is "tRNA-Ser". The record is from RNAcentral. Lineage: Eukaryota; Viridiplantae; Streptophyta; Magnoliopsida; Brassicales; Brassicaceae.